RNAcentral lists this ribosomal RNA (236 nucleotides) under Paenibacillus sacheonensis. RNAcentral's name for it is "partial 16S ribosomal RNA". It matches the Rfam family "Bacterial small subunit ribosomal RNA", at positions 1 to 229 of the family's 1533-position model. The record is from RNAcentral. Lineage: Bacteria; Bacillati; Bacillota; Bacilli; Caryophanales; Paenibacillaceae.
CUUUUAUGGAGAGUUUGAUCCUGGCUCAGGACGAACGCUGGCGGCGUGCCUAAUACAUGCAAGUCGAGCGGAGUUAUUCCUUCGGGAGUGGCUUAGCGGCGGACGGGUGAGUAACACGUAGGCAACCUGCCUGGAAGACCGGGAUAACAUUCGGAAACGAAUGCUAAUACCGGAUACGCAGUCACCUCGCAUGGGGAGACUGGGAAAGACGGCGCAAGCUGUCACUUGCAGAUGGG